Molecule: ribosomal RNA, 1093 nt
Filed under: Bacillus sp. (in: firmicutes)
Lineage: Bacteria; Bacillati; Bacillota; Bacilli; Caryophanales; Bacillaceae
Description: bacterial SSU rRNA
Rfam family: Bacterial small subunit ribosomal RNA
Source: RNAcentral
GAGCUAAUACCGGAUAAUAAAGAGAAACGCCUGUUUCUUUUUUGAAAGUCGGUUUCGGCUGACACUUACAGAUGGGCCCGCGGCGCAUUAGCUAGUUGGUGAGGUAACGGCUCACCAAGGCGACGAUGCGUAGCCGACCUGAGAGGGUGAUCGGCCACACUGGGACUGAGACACGGCCCAGACUCCUACGGGAGGCAGCAGUAGGGAAUCUUCGGCAAUGGACGAAAGUCUGACCGAGCAACGCCGCGUGAGCGAUGAAGGCCUUCGGGUCGUAAAGCUCUGUUGUCAGGGAAGAACAAGUACCGGAGUAACUGCCGGUACCUUGACGGUACCUGACCAGAAAGCCACGGCUAACUACGUGCCAGCAGCCGCGGUAAUACGUAGGUGGCAAGCGUUGUCCGGAAUUAUUGGGCGUAAAGCGCGCGCAGGCGGUUCUUUAAGUCUGAUGUGAAAGCCCACGGCUCAACCGUGGAGGGUCAUUGGAAACUGGGGAACUUGAGUGCAGGAGAGAAAAGUGGAAUUCCACGUGUAGCGGUGAAAUGCGUAGAGAUGUGGAGGAACACCAGUGGCGAAGGCGGCUUUUUGGCCUGUAACUGACGCUGAGGCGCGAAAGCGUGGGGAGCAAACAGGAUUAGAUACCCUGGUAGUCCACGCCGUAAACGAUGAGUGCUAGGUGUUGGGGGGUUCCACCCUCAGUGCUGACGUUAACACAUUAAGCAUCCGCCUGGGGAGUACGGCCGCAAGGCUGAAACUCAAAGGAUUGACGGGGCCCGCACAAGCAGUGGAGCAUGUGGUUUAAUUCGAAGCAACGCGAAGAACCUUACCAGGUCUUGACAUCCUCUGACCACUUGAGAGAUCAAGCUUUCCCCUUCGGGGGACAGAGUGACAGGUGGUGCAUGGUUGUCGUCAGCUCGUGUCGUGAGAUGUUGGGUUAAGUCCCGCAACGAGCGCAACCCUUGACCUUAGUUGCCAGCAUUCAGUUGGGCACUCUAAGGUGACUGCCGGUGACAAACCGGAGGAAGGUGGGGAUGACGUCAAAUCAUCAUGCCCCUUAUGACCUGGGCUACACACGUGCUACAAUGGGUGGUACAAA